AUCAGGAAGAGUUGAAUAAGACUA
This 24-nucleotide non-coding RNA is filed under the name Cricetulus griseus (Chinese hamster). Lineage: Eukaryota; Metazoa; Chordata; Mammalia; Rodentia; Cricetidae. The record is from RNAcentral.